AGAAAGCAUUUGACAGGGUGGAUUGGGACUUUAUGUUCCACAACCUGUCAAAAUUUGGCCGAGGUGACUUUACCUCUAAGGCGAUAGCUGCUCUAUAUACAUCUCCAACUGCGUGAGUUAUGGGUCAAAACUUUCGGUCUGAAAGGUUUGUCAUCUCAAAUGGUACUAGGCAAGGUUGCCCACUGUCUCCACUAAUUUUUGCUUUGAUCAUUGAGCCACUGGCAUGUGCGAUAAUG
This is a non-coding RNA of Pelobates cultripes (western spadefoot toad), 236 nucleotides long. The record is from the annotation of a GenBank genome assembly. NCBI's taxonomy places the organism in Eukaryota, Metazoa, Chordata, Amphibia, Anura, Pelobatidae.